This 1709-nucleotide ribosomal RNA is filed under the name uncultured Centroheliozoa. RNAcentral's name for it is "SSU rRNA". It matches the Rfam family "Eukaryotic small subunit ribosomal RNA", at positions 106 to 1742 of the family's 1831-position model. The record is from RNAcentral. Lineage: Eukaryota; Centroplasthelida.
ACAGUUAUUGUUUAUUUGAUGGUACCUUACUACUUGGAUAACCGUAGUAAUUCUAGAGCUAAUACAUGCGUCAAGCCCCGACUUAUUUGAAGGGGUGCAUUUAUUAGAUACAAACCAUCGGGCUUCACGGCUCUUUGAUGGCGAGUCAUAAUAACUGAGCGAAUCGAAUGGCUUUGUGCCGUCGAUGCUUCAUUCAAAUUUCUGCCCUAUCAGCUUUCGAUGGUAGGAUCUUGGCCUACCAUGGCUAUAACGGGUAACGGGGAAUUAGGGUUCGGUUCCGGAGAGGGAGCUUGAGAAACGGCUACCACAUCCAAGGAUGGCAGCAGGCGCGCAAAUUACCCAAUCCCGACACGGGGAGGUAGUGACAUGAAAUAACAAUGCUGGACCUUUUCAGGUCCGGCAAUUGGAAUGAGAGUAAUUUAAAUCAAUUCUCGAGGAGCCAUUGGAGGGCAAGUCUGGUGCCAGCAGCCGCGGUAAUUCCAGCUCCAAUAGCGUAUAUUAAAGUUGUUGCAGUUAAAAAGCUCGUAGUCUGAGUGAUUUGGCCUGAAUGUCACAGUUCCGAUUUACUUCGCCCACAUGUGGGGGUGGGAUUCUCGGGGGUAGGUUGAAAGACUUGCUUUCGGGGUUUCAUUCUUUGUGUGGGGGGCCAAAUUUUUGUACUUCGGAGGAACGCACAUGCUUUUUACUAAGUGUGUGAUUGGGAUUCCGAUAGUUUACUUUGAGAAAAUCAGAGUGUUCAAAGCAGGCGUUUAUGCCACUUGAAUACGUUAGCAUGGGAUAAUGGAAUAGGACAUCAGUUCUCUAUUUCAGAUGGUUUGAAGGACCGAUGUAAUGAUUAAUAGGGACAGUCGGGGACAUUUAUAUUCCAUGGCUAGAGGUGAAAUUCUUGGAUUCAUGGAAGAUAAACUACUGCGAAAGCAUUUGUCAAAGAUGUUUUCAUUGAUCAAGAACGAAAGUUAGGGGAGCAAAGACGAUCAGAUACCGUCGUAGUCUUAACCAUAAACGAUGCCGACUAGGGAUCGGUGGGAGUUAAUUUAUAUGACUCCAUCGGCACCUCAUGGGAAACCAAAGUCUUUGGGUUCCGGGGGGAGUAUGGUCGCAAGGCUGAAACUUAAAGGAAUUGACGGAAGGGCACCACCAGGAGUGGAGCCUGCGGCUUAAUUUGACUCAACACGGGGAAACUCACCAGGUCCAGACAUGGUAAGGAUUGACAGAUUGAGAGCUCUUUCUUGAUUCCAUGAAAGGUGGCGCAUGGCCGUUCUUAGUUGGUGGAGUGAUUUGUCUGGUUAAUUCCGAUAACGAACGAGACCUUAACCUGCUAAAUAGUCCUGGCAAAUCCUAAUUCAAAAACGGGUUUGAUACCAGCUGACUUCUUAGAGGGACAAGCUGUAUCUAGCAGCUGGAAGCUUGAGGCAAUAACAGGUCUGUGAUGCCCUUAGAUGUCCUGGGCUGCACGCGCGCUACACUGACGAAUUCAACGAGUUUAUCACCUUGGCAGAGAUGUCUGGGUAAUCUUGUAAACGUUCGUCGUGAUGGGGAUAGAUGAUUGUAAUUAUUCGUCUUGAACGAGGAAUUCCUAGUAGGUGUAAGUCAUCAGCUUGCGCUGAUUACGUCCCUGCCCUUUGUACACACCGCCCGUCGCUCCUACCGAUUGAAUGGUCCGGUGAGAACGUCGGAUCACGCGAUUGAUGCCAGUUCGCUGGUAACUU